Molecule: non-coding RNA, 206 nt
Organism: Tauraco erythrolophus (red-crested turaco)
Lineage: Eukaryota; Metazoa; Chordata; Aves; Musophagiformes; Musophagidae
Source: Rfam
CUAGGAGAACCGAAAACAGUUCUAGACUGACCUGCGGUUUUAUAGCACUUUGGCAGUCAACUUCAGCUUGUGUCAGAGCAGACAUGACAGAGCUGCCCAGCGCUUAAUCGCAGGACACCACUUCCUCGGACGCGCCGCAGCCCCCCUCUUGCAUUUCAAUAAAUUUCAGACCUUGGGGCUAGAAACGGGGAGCAGAGCCGGCACAG